AUUGAACGCUGGCGGCAGGCUUAACACAUGCAAGUCGAGCGGAGAUGAGGUGCUUGCACCUUAUCUUAGCGGCGGACGGGUGAGUAAUGCUUAGGAAUCUGCCUAUUAGUGGGGGACAACAUUCCGAAAGGAAUGCUAAUACCGCAUACGUCCUACGGGAGAAAGCAGGGGAUCUUCGGACCUCGCGCUAAUAGAUGAGCCUAAGUCGGAUUAGCUAGUGGGUGGGGUAAAGGCCUACCAAGGCGACGUUCUGUACCGGGUCUGAGAGGAUGAUCCGCCACACUGGGACUGAGACACGGCCCAGACUCCUACGGGAGGCAGCAGUGGGGAAUAUUGGACAAUGGGGGAAACCCUGAUCCAGCCAUGCCGCGUGUGUGAAGAAGGCCUUAUGGUUGUAAAGCACUUUAAGCGAGGAGGAGGCUACUGAGACUAAUACUCUUGGAUAGUGGACGUUACUCGCAGAAUAAGCACCGGCUAACUCUGUGCCAGCCGCCGCCGUAA
RNAcentral lists this ribosomal RNA (501 nucleotides) under uncultured bacterium. RNAcentral describes it as "partial 16S ribosomal RNA". It matches the Rfam family "Bacterial small subunit ribosomal RNA", at positions 30 to 523 of the family's 1533-position model. The record is from RNAcentral.